Non-coding RNA from Kogia breviceps (pygmy sperm whale), 4212 nucleotides. The record is from RefSeq and is a predicted model, not a curated record. NCBI's taxonomy places the organism in Eukaryota, Metazoa, Chordata, Mammalia, Artiodactyla, Physeteridae.
AUAUGUUAGGAAAUUGUUUUAGAAAAGAGGUGUGGCUCUUCCUUCAUUCUCACGAAGAUUCUAAUGUUCAGAUGGGAACUGAGUUUAUAGCCUAGUCAGCAAGUAUCUACAUGACUAUUUUCUCAAGGGUUUUGAUAUAAAAGUGACAGAUUUACAGGGAAGGUACCUCUGGGCAGCAGCUUCUCCAGCACCUUUAUACAGAGAGACUAAGAUCGCUGUGAAAAUGUAGUUCUGGGUUCUAGAGCUGCAUUGCUUCAUAUAUUUAGUGAAUUGCCUAUAAAGUUUUGUUGGUGUAGGUUCUGCUUUGGUUUCUGGAGCCCGUGGAUUUGGUCAGGUUAGGCAUCUUCCCUGCACUAGCCUCCCCUCCUUACCUAACCUAAUUGCGUAGCAAAUGUACUGAGUUUUGAAGGGUCAGUUGCUGAUUCCUUGGAAAAAAUAAAACUUGUAGAUCUUUGGGUAACAUGAACACUGAGUUCUUUCUAUCCUGUGUUCUUUGACAUUGAUUCACAAUUUCCUUGGGUUGUUUGGUUAGUCCCCCUUCGUAAAACACUGAUUAGAUAGAAAGGAGGCCUCUAGGACAGAGAGCACUAAAUCUUUUUUUUUUUUUUUUUUUAAUGAUUUCCUUGAGAAUCUCGUCCCAUACCAUGUGGUCCUUUAAAACGGACUAUGGUGUGGUAUGCCUAUAUCCAUAAACUCCUACAUCUCCAUACCUGGCAGUGCCACUGGACACAAAGGAAAAGAGUCCUGUUUGGGGAUUGAGUCCAUCACUGUGUACAUGACGCCUGGGAGGGAAGGCAUCUCAUGCUUCCAUAAGGCUUAUCAAACCCUUCGUAGCAUGAAAGCAGGCAAAGAAUUGUGAAGACAUUAGGAUACAUUUUGAAAGCCAGGGCAGUAGUGGGGAGGGGUGUUGCGGGUCAGCUUGUGUGAAUGGUGGCCCACUGAGGUGGCGGUCCAAAGGGCCCAUCCGCGGGCAAGUGAAGGCCUAGGGGUAGAGGAGAGAAGCCUCCUGAGACACUUUCUGUUUUCCUUAUUAUUUGGCCCAGGAUGGGGACUGAGAACUUGUCUAUAGCCACAAAACUAAACAAAACAAAAGAAGAAUAGAGAUUUUUGAAUCCAGUGUGAGGAUUUCGUAAUCAUUCCUUUUUUCUGUUGUUGCUAAUGUUUGCUUUUACAUAAUAACAAAUCUGUUUACUUCUGCAAAGGAUUAGCAGUGGACCCUGCUUCUGGAGCAAAACUCAGACAAGGAUUUACUAAAUCUUCUAAAAAAAGAAAAAAAAAAAGAUUAACUCCUAGAGGCCAGGUAAAUCAGGUAUGUGUUCUGGAAUUGACUGAAGACUCGUAAGCCACAUAAAAGUAUUUAUGGAAGCUUCUGUAAAUGGAGUUUGGGAAGAAGCGUUAGCUGAGGGGAGCUGCCACUCUACCGCUGUUCACUUGCUCUGGGAGACUGCCUUCCCUUGGAGAGCUGAACUCAAAAUAGCGCUAGUCAAUCAGGAGAAGGAGCUGGUCUGGCGUCUCACCUACACCAAUCCCCUGCAUGUGUACUUUAACCUCAUUCUCCCCAACUCCUGCUUUAUGAGAGAUGACCAGUGUCCAACAGAACUUUCUGUGAUGGAAAUGGAUGGCUACUGAACACUCAAAAUGUGAUACUGAGAAACUGAAAUUUUUAUUUUAUUUAACUUUAAGUAGCCACAGGAGGCUAGUGGCUGCUGUCCUGCAAGGCACAGGCACUCUCAGUUUCACUGUCAAAAGAGAUGAAGGCAAGGCUACCCUUUCCUUCAGGCACGGCUAUACUGCAUUUGCCCUCAGGUGUUUCCCUGAAGCACAAAACGUAUUUAUGUAGAUCCAGUCAUUUGUUUUAUGAAUACUCCCUACUUCAAAUUCCAGCUCACCCCUUUGUUAGCUGUCCUGAGUUUCAGUUAUCUAUCUGAUGCAUGUAAAUGAGCUGGUAGGCACAAGCAACUGAAACAAGAUGGAUCUGAAAGUACUCUGUAAUCUAAAGACACACCAUACAAAUACACGGUAGUAUUUAUAAACACUGGGAUUAAAAGCAGAAGCCAUCAGCUGCAAACUGACACAUGGUUCUAACCACUCAGCUAUGGAUAUAAUAGAAAAGAGACACACGUUUUCUCCUAUGUAUGCUUCACCAACCGUUACUCAUAGUGGGAGGACCCAGUAGCCUGGAUAAUACACCUGCUCAACACACACAGGACAUAAGCGGUUGCAAGUAAAAACUGGCCUGAGCUCUUUGUUUCUCAACAGAUAUCAACUUUGAUUGCUCACCAAUGCACCAAGCAUACAAAGGAAAAAUAAGAUUAUUCAAGAAAAAAGUACCUGCCUUUAGCACUGAAUAAAGUUUUCCCAGAUGCACUUUCCAGCCACUUCCCUAGAUUCAGAAGUCCAACAAGCUGUAGACCUCAUUACCUUUCCCUCGGGCCUUCAAAGAUGGUGGGUAUAUAAUCAAGGGGUUUUACACAUGGCCACACUGUAUUUAAAUGGGAGACAUUUCCUCCAACUCUUUCCCCAUUAUACUUGCAAAGGACAACAACAAAACAUUAAAUCACUUAAGCAUUUUUAUACUUAUUAAACGUAUUGCAUUUACGUCUUUGCCAAGACUGUUAUCUUUCUGAGUUUUGGUCUCUGUGUUAAAUACACCUAGUCCAACCCUAAGUGCAAAAUUGGUCCUCAAAUGUUGAACUGAAUUAAUUUUAUAAUAGUAAACAUUCCUCAGUUUCUUCAGGAAGGCUUUUUUUAAUGAUGAACUCAAAUUCACAAAUAGUUAUAACAUUUCAUUCACCAUAACUCUGUAUUUCAUUAAUAAUGGAUCUUCAAAUAUAAAUAUUUGCACUGUUUUCAUGAUAUCAUCACAAACUAUUAUAAACAUAGUCUUCCCAACAGAUUAUAAAUUCAUUGUGGCUGAGGAUCAAAGCCCAGCUAUUUUAAAAAAAUAAACUGUGUGGAUAAUACAGCAUCUCCCAUCACCAUGUACUUGACCAGUACUGGCUGGCUGGCUGCUGCUGCUGAUUCCGAUCUUUGGUUGAAACCUGAUGAGCCUUCUGGCCACACCCUUAAAACAGACUUGUGAUUAACUUUCUAUUAUUUGGCAAACCUCCAAGCAAUCCUAAGGGAGAACUAACAAAGGGAUGGUCCUGACCAUAAUCAGUCAGUUCUGUAACUUGACAUACGGAUUGCAUUUGAGUCUUAAAUACGGUAAUAUUUCAACACCUGUCACCCUGGAAAGAUAGUAAGUCUUCCCCCAAAACAUCUCAGGACAUAAUUUUCAAUCCCCUUGAUUCUAAAAAUACUGAGUGAGUGAUACAGAUCUGCCAGUAUGCCAAAGAAGGCUUGUGCCAUCUGCUUCAUUCUGUUCAUGCUGAUUAUUUUGGGGAUGAGAGAGCAUCAGAUUGGAAUAAGAACAUAUAUAUAUGGCAACAGCCAGGAAGGACUGUGUUCCCUGAGGGCUGAUGGUAUACCACGGCGGAGGGAGAGGUCAGGGCACAAGUGUAGUUCCAGGACGUCCCCAAUGCUGCGUAACACAAUCAGCUAAUGGGAGACAAAUGUUUUACAACAUUCUCAAAAUAAACUAUGACUUCUGGCUUCUAUUUCCAUUGUCCCCAGUGACACGAUGCAAGGCCCAUUUCUGAGAGGAAACUGAAUUUCCAUUUUUAGUCUUCCAACAUGGGAACUCUUAAGUUCUUUUCUUGACUCCAUUCAUCACUCCUUGUGGACAGGAAGGUUCUACUCCAAACGUUUUUCUCUCCUAGUCCUGACACCUGGGAUUGCUUUUAUAUAAAUGUGUUAAGGCCAAUUUUAAAAGGGCCUCUAAUAAGGUUCUGUUUCUUCUUACACUCACUCACAAAAUAUGAAAGAGCCAAUCCUGGAGCAGGGCAGGUGUAAAUGCAUUGUUUAUUUGGCUCCAGGAGGCUUCUAGAGAGGGUGCUCUCCUCACUAUUUAAAGGACUCUAAUAGCAAGUCUCUAUCAUCUAUGAAAAAACCAUCCAGAAACAUCAGCUGGAGGAAGAAGAUACUCAGAACCUCCGGGUGGUUUUGCUACUUCUUGUUUUUCAUUACGCACAUGCACCGUAAAACUUGUUAGGUGUUGUAACUGAGCAAGCACGGUGUUAGAAGAAUUGGAGCUCAUUAUAUGUCUCAUCAGCAAAAGAGGAGCUCUUGGGGCUGGACUAGUAACUUGGUUGAGGCUUACAGAUGUGAAGC